UUGUUAAAUUAUUGAUAUUCUCAAGACUGUGUUAAGUACUGUAGGAAUUGCAGAGGGAGAAUAAUUGCACCAUAUUUACUCUAAGGAUGCAAAUAGAAGAACUAUUACAAACCACAUGGGAAGAAAUUAAUGUUAGUAAUUAAAGUUAGUAAAUUAAUGUUAACCACAUGAAGAUGAGGAAAUCUUCAUAAAGAAAUGGAAUGUUAUUUGAACUUUGAUGG
RNAcentral lists this long non-coding RNA (221 nucleotides) under Bos taurus (domestic cattle). RNAcentral describes it as "long non-coding RNA NONBTAT022055". Lineage: Eukaryota; Metazoa; Chordata; Mammalia; Artiodactyla; Bovidae. The record is from RNAcentral.